Molecule: ribosomal RNA, 429 nt
Filed under: Actinomycetes bacterium
Lineage: Bacteria; Bacillati; Actinomycetota; Actinomycetes
Description: Actinobacteria bacterium partial 16S ribosomal RNA
Rfam family: Bacterial small subunit ribosomal RNA
Source: RNAcentral
UAGGGAAUCUUUCGCAAUGGGCGAAAGCCUGUCGGAGCAACGCCGCGUGAGUGAUGAAGGUCUUCGGAUCGUAAAACUCUGUUAUUAGGGAAGAACAAAUGUGUAAGUAACUAUGCACGUCUUGACGGUACCUAAUCAGAAAGCCACGGCUAACUACGUGCCAGCAGCCGCGGUAAUACGUAGGUGGCAAGCGUUAUCCGGAAUUGUGGGGCGUAAAGCGCGCGUAGGCGGUUUUUUAAGUCUGAUGUGAAAGCCCACGGCUCAACCGUGGAGGGUCAUUAGAAACUGGAAAACUUGAGUGCAGAAGAGGAAAGUGGAAUUCCAUGUGUAGCGGUGAAAUGCGCAGAGAUAUGGGGGAACACCAGUGGCGAAGGCGACUUUCUGGUCUGUAACUGACGCUGAUGUGCGAAAGCGUGGGGAUCAAACAGG